This is a long non-coding RNA of Mesocricetus auratus (golden hamster), 2425 nucleotides long. RefSeq lists it as uncharacterized. The record is from RefSeq and is a predicted model, not a curated record. Lineage: Eukaryota; Metazoa; Chordata; Mammalia; Rodentia; Cricetidae. The transcript has 3 exons.
CGUGUCGGGCCUGCCUGCAGCGAAGUAUCUUAAAAAGUAAAGUAAGCCUGGCGUGGCGGCUCAGGCCUGCAAGUCCAGUGAUUGGGUCUCGGAGGCAGGAGAGGACUUGCCCCGAGUUCAAGGCCAGCCCGAGCUUCAUAAUUGGAAAUCAAAGCAAAAGAGGAGCCCACGUGCUUCCCCUGGACCUGUCCUAUGUCAUCGUCCUUAUGGCUCCAUUUCAGAGGCCAGGAAACUGAGGCAGGCACAGAUGAAGUUCAAACCUGCGCCACCCUGCUGCGGCAAAGAUCAAGCCCAUCUGACCCUAUGGUCCUGGUUCAACUCUACUACCCAAGUGGCCUCCUGUGCCCCUCUCUAGUCUGGUUCCUACUCCCCCCACCCAAAAAAAAAUCCAAGUGUUCCCUAGGCAGGCGAGAAGAUGGAACCGUGGCGUGGCUGGCCCUCAUCGACUGUGAAGAGGUCAAAGAGAUGCUUCUGGGCUCCAAGCUUGUUUUCUCCUACGCCACGUGGGGAUAAAAAUAAUCCAGUAUCCACCUUGUGGGGGUAGGCAGGGAAGUGUGAAAAGUUGGCACAAUGCCUGGCACAUGGCAGGUCCUCAGACACCAGCUUUGCUUAUUUUUAUCGCUAACACCCUACUUGGGGGCCCCAGGCUGGCAUGGGACUUGUCAAGUGUCACCCUCUUCCUUUCCCACAGCUGGGCCAACGGCCUGGGUGGAGGCUCGAAGGGAGGAAGAGCAGAAGGGUAGGGGAAGCCAUGCUGUAGGCUUGUUGCCUCUGAGAACCCCUAAACCUGCCCCCUAGCUCCUCCCCUCCCCAGCCAUAGGUAACCUGCUCCAGGCUCAGUACAGUUAUUGAUGGAGUUGAGGGCCACAAGGGUACCUCAGGGCACACACACACCCCUGCCCAGUGCUUACUGAGGGGAGCCUCCCCCAGGGAGCACGGGAAUGGUGGCAAGAACCCGAAAGUGGCUUGCAUGAUGGAUGGGCUAGUGGAUAGAUGGAUGGAUGGGCUCGGAGACAGAUGGAUGGAUGGAUGGUGGACAGACAAACAGAUGAGAAGCCAGGAGGUGACUACCUGGCAGCGCAGGACUGUCAGAGAGUUGAUGGAUGGGACACAGGGAGAGCUGAGAGAGAUGGGGCCCAGCAGGGAAGAAGGAAGGAAGGAAGGAUGGAUGGAUAGACAUACAGACAGACAGAUUGACAGAUGAGGGAAACAGACCGGAGGGUGUGGGAUGGGUGAGUGGGGAUCUGGAUGAGUGAUGAGAGGCCCUGCUGAGGAAGGGAGAGGGGUCUGGCUGGGGUGGGUGUGGCCGGAAGAAGGACCAGACCCAGUGACGAAAGACUUCCCUUCUGGGACGCUUGCAGAUAGAUGGAUUCACACCUCACACCAGAUGAAUGGGCCGAGGUUCCCCUGAGACUGACUGGCAGAGAAAGACAGACAGAUGGAGGGAAAUGGGACGGGAAGGGGGAACAGGGACAGGGGAGGAGUCCAGGGCCCUGACCCAGGUUGGUAUGUAGGGAACCCUAUCGAACUAGGCGUUAAGAAAGCAUGCAUUUUAGGGUAGUAUCCCUUGCACACGCGGAAGUGGGUGUGUGGGCGUGUGUGUCUGCUCUGGCAGGGUACUGGGCACUUCUCAGCAUGAGUGUGAACUUGUGAGGGCGUAAGCUUGCUGGUGAGUAUAGGAACUAGGGGCCUGGAGGGUGGGGGCCCUCUCCUCCUCUCAAGGCUGGGGUAGGAUAGGAACCUGGGAGUCAGCUUGCUUGAGGACCCGGUGUGUUUGGAAACUUGGAACCUCCUGGGGUAGUGCAAAUGGCUGGUUUACUGUGUGUACUUCCUGUGUGUUGUCUGGGUUUCUCACCAGGUCCAUCAAAGGCCUCUUCAGAAUGACACACAUAAUGGAGUGUGAUGGCUCACACCUGGAAUCCCAGAUGUUGAAACAGGAGGAUUGCUGUGCCUCCUUUGACGUAAGGUUUAUGGCCCCGCUGCGUCGGCGCCCCGCGGAGAGGAACCAGCUCUGAGCCUCGUAAAGGGGGUCGAGGCCUGAAGAGCCUCAGCCUCCGUCGCCUUGGAAACGGGGCGCAUCCUCCGCCGAGGGAGAGGCGGCUGAGACCGGCCUGGGGUCACCGGACGCUCCCGCUGAGCGCUCUGCAUAUCUCCACCAUCUCCUGCGGGUGGUCCCCGCCCCCCCUGCCGCCCUCCUCCGCCCCUCUCCCCAAGCGCCUUUGAGAGUCACCUCCUCCAGGAAGCCUACAGACACUGCCACCUGCAAGGGGCUGGGGGGGGGGGGGACUGGCGCAUUCUAGCAAUGCUCACCAGUAGUCACAGCUGGCGCUGUGAAUCUUGACCUCAAGCGUAGCCCCAGGAUGCUCUUUGCAACUGUUAUCCUUUGUCCUCAUACCAAUUCCUCGAAUAAACCAAAGACCAGCUA